AGAUUGAACGCUGGCGGCAGGCCUAACACAUGCAAGUCGAGCGGUAGAGAGGUGCUUGCACCUCUUGAGAGCGGCGGACGGGUGAGUAAUGCCUAGGAAUCUGCCUAGUGGUGGGGGAUAACGUUCGGAAACGGACGCUAAUACCGCAUACGUCCUACGGGAGAAAGCGGGGGACCUUCGGGCCUCGCGCCAUUAGAUGAGCCUAGGUCGGAUUAGCUAGUUGGUGAGGUAAUGGCUCACCAAGGCGACGAUCCGUAACUGGUCUGAGAGGAUGAUCAGUCACACUGGAACUGAGACACGGUCCAGACUCCUACGGGAGGCAGCAGUGGGGAAUAGUUGGACAAUGGGCGAAAGCCUGAUCCAGCCAUGCCGCGUGUGUGGAAGAAGGUCUUCGGAUUGUAAAAGCUAACGUUUUAAGGUUGGGAGGUAAGGGUUUGUAAACUUUAAGUACGUUGCUAACUUUGACGUUACCGACAGAAUAGCACGCUAACUCGUGCCAGCAGCCGACGUAA
RNAcentral lists this ribosomal RNA (512 nucleotides) under uncultured soil bacterium. Its description in RNAcentral is "bacterial SSU rRNA". It matches the Rfam family "Bacterial small subunit ribosomal RNA", at positions 26 to 523 of the family's 1533-position model. The record is from RNAcentral.